CCUCGAACAAAAUCAUCAGCAUCAUCUGGCUCAAUAUGACACAUUACAGAAGCAGCUGCUCUUGAGCCCAUUGAACGACCUAAAACCAAUUAAAAUUAAGUUCAGUUUGAAAUAUAAACAUUCACAUAAAGUAGUGGUGAUGAUAAUGUGGCAAGUCAGAUUUCAUUCACUGUUCAUCCAUCAUAUUGCUUAUCAAUAAAUAUUAACUACAACAGGUGCCAAUUAAAAAGCUGCAAUACCCAGAGACUUGUGAAUAGCUAAAAACUGAUCCUAAGUCAAAUCUUAAAAAAAAAAAAAAAAAAGGAAUUAUUUUCCAAAAGAAUACUUGAAGUGGUGAAGACAGUCCUUGGGAAGGAAUCAUUUGAGAGGGGGUGAUUCAGGGAUAUAAAUAAAAGGAGACCUCUUCAGGUUAUAACACAUAUAUAUGAGGUUUAAAUUAGAUUUAAAUAUUAAAGUAUCUUGGUGUUACACCAGCAAGUGACUUACCGAAACAAAACAAAAAAUCCUUAAGUCUCUUCCUGUCUUUAAUUUUAAUUCUCAAUUACCUAUUCCUAUAUUAAUAUGAGUAGACUUUAGAACAAGUAUUCACAAGUAUUGAAAACUUACCUCCAAGGAAAACACCUGCAAGUUUGUAUUCUCCUGAGGUCUUUAGGUAAUUCUAGAAAAAUCAACCAAAAAAUUAUCAAUUCUUCUCCCAUGAAAUAUUCCACUGGAAAACCAACAUAUAUUUUCUCAUCAUUACUGAAAUGUAUGAAAAUUUUUGCAAAAACAAGAAAUUUCAAGGGAUUCUUCUUGGAAGAGAUAAUCAAUUCUUUGCUCUCUGGUCAUGCCUUCACUGUCAAAUCAUAAACUGGGUAAUACAGGCAAAUAAGUGGAAUAAAAACACUGUCUAAAACAAAUUCAAGUCCUAAAAUAUUUUUAAAGAACAAAUCGUGGAGGGAAGAAAAGCCAGUAAAAGCUUCCAACUAAUACAAAAUGUGAUAAUACUAACAUCUAAUUUAAAGCUCUGAAAAACUCAGUAAGCUUGAAGUAAUCUGGAUUAAAAGAAAUUUCAGAUUUGUUUUAUCCAGGGAUUUUAUAGUUUCUAAUAGAGAAAUCACAUAUUAUUUGUACAUUCAUAGUAUACAAGGCAAAAUACCUAGAACUAUAUAUCCUAAAUUUCAAUAUGUAAAUUACAUCAUAAGUAGAUUCUUUGGCAGUAUCACGGAGAAACAUUUAUGAUGUAAGCACUCAUCCCCAUGGAAACUAACUGAUGGCAAAAAAGAGAAAUCUGACCAUUACACAGCCUUCAUACACUGCUGAGUUUCUAAGAAUACUCAUUAAAGGAUUUUUAAAUUAAAUCAAACGACUGCUAAUAAAAUGUCUUAAAUUUAUUAUGAAUUUUAAAAACAGAAUUGUCGUAAGUAAAUAUAAAGAAAUUUUCUUACCAAAACUGAUUUAUAUGCCUUAAUUCUAUGUACAAUAUUAAGGCCUUUACAGGUAAAUCUCAGGCUAAAAAAACCAUGAGAUGCAAGAUGGGAUGCCAGUGACAUCAAAUGAGGAAGAUUCAUAUCUCCUGAUGCUCCAUGUGUAAGAAUUAUUCCAUAUGUUAAGCUCUUGUUAGGUACCAAACAAACAGCAUCUAGUAAUUUAUUUCCAAAAGGUAUUUUUAAUUUAACCUGGAAUUCAAGAGAAUAAAUGGAUCAAAAAUUACUUCCUUGCCUAUUCAGACAAAUGAAUAACUAUAUAUGUUUGUUCUGCAAGACCCAUGAUUCAAGUCACAGCCUCCAAAUAAAAAGCAAUGAUAUUAAUAACUAAUACUUAAGAAAUACUUAUUGUGUCAGGUACUAUUAUAACUGCUUUAUAUGUAUUAAAUCAUUUAACAUUCCUAAGAAUUCUAAGAGGCAAGUACUGUUACUAUCUCCAUUUUAUAGCUGAGAAAACUGAGGCACAGUAGCUUACAUAAUGUGCCCAAGGUUAUAUAUCCAAUUAGCGAGGAUCCAAACUCAGGCAGUCUGCUCCAAAGUCCUCAUUCUUAACCACUAAUGCUAUGCUGUCUCUCACAGUACAAGAUGAAAAUAAGAAAAUUACUCUGGAGCCAUAUGACUACAAAAAAAAAAAAAAAAAAAAGGAACCUUGAAGAUGCAGAAUGUAUGAAAAUAUGUAUUACCUCUGUAUGACUCAUUUUCACUGUUGAAUAACAAACUUAAAGUGCAUUACAUCUGAGAAGCAAAGGACAUCUCCCUGAAAAGAAGAUUCUGUUGUGAAAGCCUGGGUUCCAGAAUGAAGACACAUGGAGCAGACCAGAUCCCAAAACUAAAGUCUGGAGUCCAGCCUAGUCCAACCAACAUCUAAACCACUGAAGAACGAUGAAGUGUCUACCUGAAGAACCAAGAGCAUGAAAUGCCGGGAGCCAGAGAUUUCAGGGUUGUUAUGAAGCAUUCCUUCCUAUAGUAUGAGAUCUUUUAUUGUUCAGGAUAUCAUCAACGUCAGGAUCUCCAUUGUUCAUCUUUUUUCCCACUAACAUUUACUAAUUCAUUCACUGAAUAGAUAAUAACAUGGUCCAAAGUUAAAAAGGUACAAAAAUAUACAGUGGAAAGUCUCUCCCUCAUUCCACUUUUGCCUUACCAUCCAGAUCCUCUCUUCAAAGGCAACCAAUAUUCUGCUAUCUUUCAGAUAUUUUAUAUAUAUACCUACAGAUACACACAUCUCCUUUUUCUUUUUAUAAACUGGUGACCUACUUUUCUGAACCCCCCCCCCAUAUGUAUCUUGGUGAUUACUCAUUUCCUUAUACAACAAGCUUCUUGUUUUUUUAUGGCUAUAGAAUAUUCCAAGGAAGGGUUGUACAUAAUUUAUUUUACCAACCAUCUAUCAAUUAAAAUGAGAUUGUUUCCAAUCUUUUGCUAAAACCAUAUUGCAAUGAGUGGCACUGUACUUAACAUUAUUUUCACAUGUGUGUAGACAUAUCUGUAAGAGAAAUUCCUGUGUCAAAGGGUGUAUUCACUUACAAUUAUUUUUUAAGAAAUACAUUUCAUUUUUGAAUAGGUAAUAUACGCACAUGGUACACAAUUUUAAAACAGUUAACAGUAGUUAAGUCUCCUCCCAUUUUUCCCCCAGCCACAAUGUUCCUUUCCCUUCCCAGAAGCAACCACUGUGACUAACUUACUGUGUAUAUCUUUCCCUUUAUGUGUGUGUGUGUGUGCACACGCACGCAUGUGUGCGCGUGCAAAAUUCUCAUAUUUGAGCCUGAAGGGUAUCAGACUGGCUGCAGAAAGUUCUGGGGUUUAAACUGGGGGAUGAUGGACUUCAAUCUUCAUUGUCCCUGUUUUCAUAAAGGGAGCCUAGUAACUGUGCCCGGGGUCCCCUGGUUCAAAGAUCCUGCUUUACGUUCUCAAGAGACCAGCCUCCAGUCUUCUAAUGGGAGACAAGCAGAAUCCAACGAUGUGACACGGGGAGACAGCGCCGGCGGUCUACCUACUUCUCUGGCGCGCUUCACCGAGGUACAGCCCUCCACAUCCAUCCCCAGCUGCCACCUUCUGCACCUUCUGCACAUUUCGAAGACUCUGUUUCUGACGUAGAACUGUUCCCCCAGCACUCCCUGCUGCUGGUUUAGAAUUAAGCUGAUCUGCUAAGGCUUGGGCUUUCUGGAGCUCAGUAUCUUA
Molecule: long non-coding RNA, 3641 nt
Organism: Delphinapterus leucas (beluga whale)
Lineage: Eukaryota; Metazoa; Chordata; Mammalia; Artiodactyla; Monodontidae
Source: RefSeq, a predicted model, not a curated record